Molecule: ribosomal RNA, 374 nt
Filed under: uncultured organism
Description: partial 16S ribosomal RNA
Rfam family: Bacterial small subunit ribosomal RNA
Source: RNAcentral
GUAGGUGGCAAGCGUUGUCCGGAAUUAUUGGGCGUAAAGCGCGCGCAGGCGGGGUUCGUUUAAGUCUGAUGUGAAAGCCACGGGCUCAACCGUGGAGGGUCAUUGGAAACUGGAGAACUUGAGUACAGAAGAGGAAAGCGGAAUUCCACGUGUAGCGGUGAAAUGCGUAGAGAUGUGGAGGAACACCAGUGGCGAAGGCGGCUUUCUGGUCUGUAACUGACGCUGAGGCGCGAAAGCGUGGGGAGCAAACAGGAUUAGAUACCCUGGUAGUCCACGCCGUAAACGAUGAGUGCUAAGUGUUAGGGGGUUUCCGCCCCUUAGUGCCGCAGCUAACGCAUUAAGCACUCCGCCUGGGGAGUACGGCCGCAAGGCUG